RNAcentral lists this long non-coding RNA (733 nucleotides) under Pongo abelii (Sumatran orangutan). RNAcentral describes it as "lincRNA". The record is from RNAcentral. Lineage: Eukaryota; Metazoa; Chordata; Mammalia; Primates; Hominidae.
CUUAAAUCUUAUAGUAUUUAUCCACCCAAACCCCAGACUGAGAUACUGCUCCCAGGGGCCUUAGGUAGCUGCCAGUCCGUGAUUUUAAUUGCUGUCUUGAAGUUAACAAGUGUUAUAAUGAAAUAAUCUACCUGAUGCUAAAUAAAGGCUUUAGAAUGUUCCCCAAAAGUGUGGUUUCUUUUAAAAUUUCAAAUAUACUAAUGUUGCCACUUAAUACUAUCCUAAAUUGUUAGAAGUGUCCUACAAAAGAAGUCCUUGUGGUACCAUAGCUCCCAGGGCCGAGGAGAUAACCAGUUACCUGGCAUGCAUAGUGGACACAGCCUGGGUGCACCCUGAAAAGCUGGCUCCUUCUCAUGCUCCGGUGUCAGUUUACAUCUGAGCCUGAACACCCUAUCUAAUAGUGACAAUUAAAGGAACAGCAAUGGGCACUUGCAUUGCAACAUAUCUCAAGACAUCUGACUGUGAAACAACAGCAUGUCCAGGAAGAGGUUUCCAUCCCUGUGCUUCCUGAACAUUUGAGCCUACUAAGAUAAAAGGUGGGGCACUGGUCUUCUUGGUGUCGCCCAUCACAUAAGUUGGAAAAGUGACUUUUGGUGGAUGCUGCUGAAACUGUGGAUCCUUAGGAUUAGAUAAAUAGAGGGUUGCUUGGGGAAAAGGCCCAGGUGCAGGUGGCGGUGAUGGGUGACCUUGUUGAUUCUUAUCAGUUAGACAAUAAAGGGUCCACAUGUUAGAA